Molecule: ribosomal RNA, 367 nt
Filed under: uncultured organism
Description: bacterial SSU rRNA
Rfam family: Bacterial small subunit ribosomal RNA
Source: RNAcentral
CGUAGGUGGCAAGCGUUGUCCGGACUUAUUGGGUUUAAGGGUGCGUAGGCGGUUAUAUAAGUCAGUGCUGAAAUAUCCCGGCUUAACCGGGAGGGUGGCAUUGAUACUGUAUGACUUGAGUAAAGUUGAGGUUGGCGGAAUUGACGGUGUAGCGGUGAAAUGCUUAGAUAUCGUCAAGAACACCGAUUGCGAAGGCAGCUAACUAAGCUUUAACUGACGCUGAGGCACGAAAGUGUGGGGAUCAAACAGGAUUAGAUACCCUGGUAGUCCACACUGUAAACGUUGAUUACUCGCUGUUGGCGAUACACAGCCAGCGGCUAAGCGCAAGCGAUAAGUAAUCCACCUGGGGAGUACGCCGGCAACGGUG